RNAcentral lists this long non-coding RNA (3634 nucleotides) under Homo sapiens (human). Its description in RNAcentral is "HSALNT0326014". The record is from RNAcentral. Lineage: Eukaryota; Metazoa; Chordata; Mammalia; Primates; Hominidae.
UGUAUGAUUUAGCUCAUUUCCUAACCAUUUUCUGGAGGGGAACUCUUUCCUAGUUUAAAAAUUAUUGGCCAAAUUUGACCACUAAUUUGAAAGACAUUUUUUUCAUUUCAGUCAAAUAGAUGAUGUGUGAUUUAUAAAUAUUACUACACUAUCAUUAAGAAAUGAGCAAGUCACAUUUUUGGCUUAUAAAUAAAUGCCCAUAUUAUAUUUUUAAUUCUUAACUCUUGAUUAAUAUGACAAAGUGGCCCUUAGUAACAGAUUAAGUCUACAAGUGGAGUUAUUUAUUUAAAUAACUUGAAGUAAGAAAAGUUUGUUUAGGCCACUUUUGACAAUAUUUCUAUAAUUACGCUAUGUCAUAUAUAAAUAAGUAUAUCCCUGUGUUCUUGCUUUUCUUUCAUCAGUAUUCUUUUCAUACCCAUUAUCUGACAAAACACACUUACUCAGAAUAUAAGUUGUCAACUUUGGUAAGUGCUAUGAAUGGCUUGUCUGGUUUGGUGCCAGAAUUUCUGAUAUGAGAACACUGCAGAUAAGAAAAUACUUUUUGAAACAAAUUUUUAAAACCCCAAAGUACUCAUAGUAAGUUUUUCUUUAAAAUUGGUGUAAUGUAGUUAUACAUAAAUUUUAGUGUAUUUAGUAUAUAAAUAUAAUCCUAUUUGACUGCCACUUCUAUACAUACUACCCUGUAUUUAUAAAAAGUAUUUUUAGUUUACUGCCUUUGUUUUUUCUAGGAGCUCUGUACAUAAUAAUAAUCUGCACUGUUCAAAAUUAGCCAAAUACUAAUUGGAUCUGCAAAAUUAUUGGUUGCACUAUAGUUGAUUACUUGCUUCUGCUUUCAUUCAUUGGAAUUAUUUAUACUUCGAAUUAGACAAAUGGUGAUUAUUUUAUGUAAUGUGGCCAAUUAGAAACUAACCAAAUAAGAAAACAGAAGCUGUAGAAAUUAUGUAAUUUUACAAUAAAAAAGGUGAUAAUUCCAAGGCCAAUUUGAAGUGGAAAGUUGUCAAUAUUGUAAUGAUUUUGAGCUGUGCAGUCACUUAACCCUUUUUAAAGGCAACAGUCUUAGGCUUAAAUCAGAUGACUUGAGUUUCUAUUAUAUAAGGCUUCUGCUACUUGCUUGCUUUGCACCCUCAUUAAUUCAUCUUUGCAGCAUAAUAACAAUAUGUAUUUCACCAGAUUGUUGUAAAGAUUAAGUGAAAUAAUGCUUGUGUGAGGAGCCUAUGUAACCUCUGACUAUAAACAGUUUAGGAGUUCUCAGGCAGCUGCUGGAGGCAUGUAAGAGCGCCACAUCCAGCUGCACUCCAAUCUGAAAGGCCUGCUUCCUCACAAAAAAUCCGAAUAGACCUCUUCCAUCACUAGCUGUAGAAUGUGGCCAAACACAAUGGAAUAGGAUGUCACUGUGAAGAGAACAGAAUGCUUAGGUUAGAAGAACUGAAGCCUGACCUGUGAGAUAAGCAGAUAAAGGAUUUGGUGGAACACACUGAGCAGAAUCACUGUCAAAAUAAAGCCUAUGAAGUUCCUAGCAAAGACCAAAAAUAAAGGCUGAGUCAAGGUAUUGUAAAUAGACAUCUGACUAUUAGGCCCAGACUCUGACGCUCAGAGUGGGCAAAACCAGGAGCUGUCACGGAAUGGGCUCUGCGUUGGGGCCCAGUUUCAAGAAGGCCUCAGAACAACUUUGGAAGAUGAAUUGAUCCUGUUGCAUGAGCCUGGAAGCCUUGUUAAGUCACUUGACCUCCAGUCAGGUCAGCGUAUGGUUAGCUACCCGGACACAUCUUUCUACCAGACACUCUGGCCUUCAGAUUCCAGAGGAGCCAGUGGGCAGGGGUGUCUGUUUUUCACUGACAUUUGCAGGGUGGGUACACCUCUAGAGAGAAGGUCACAUCUCUUGCCAGGAAAUGCAGAGUCUGAGCAAUCGAGGGAAAGGCAGAGGUUAGCUCAACUUCAUCUGCCAUGUGGACCCCCAUGCUGAGCUGAAGAGUGUUCUGGUUAGAAGCAGAUUGUGGGUGGCCAAUGCCUUGCCUAUGGAACUAUAUCAUGGUUAAUUCUGGAUCAUCAGGAAAUCUAAUGAAUUUGACCUGAUUCAAUAAUGUCUUUCACUCAGUAAUCUGAUCACUUCUGUUCCAGGAGUAGCCUUCCUCAGUCUGCCCUAAUCUAAUGGUACGAAAACAGGCAUGUUUAAUUUUAGCCUAUUGCAAAAGAAGACCCAGGGCAGUAGACUGCAUCUACCUUAUGCUUGUUUUUGGAAGGAAAUUUACACUGGCCACGGUCAAUACUCAGCGUGUGACAAUGGUCACUGUCAAGGCCUGUAGGCCCACGCUGGAGAGAGCCUGGCACCUCACAAUGCAAUCCAAUCACUCCAGCUUGUCACAUAUUCAGAAGUUCAGAAAGCUCAGCAGUGACAGGUUUAUUUUUCAGAAACGCUGAGCUACAAAUUACUAAUAUAUCAGGCAGCCAGAAUCACUGGGCUGACUGCAGGUCUGAUUACCAUGGGUAACUGACACUAAGCCAUUCUGGGAGAUCCUCUCCCUUAAAUAGUUACAUUUCAGUGCUGCUGAAAUUCCGUGACCAAUCAGAUGCAGACAAUAGGUAGGGGCUUCUGAUUAGCACUCUGAUUUCCAGCUGUGCUCGAAGUGACUCAGGAGAUCAGUGGAAAAGUAGUUCAGUCACCCCAAAAUGAUAGGUUCCUACUCCUUGUUCCAUUCUCUAUCCCUGGAAAGCCACCAUGGCCCUUCCAAGGCAUUGAAUGUGGCACACUGAGAAUUACAGCAGCCCAGUGCUUUUCAAAGCACAACUGCCUGGGUCAAACAAAGAAACAAAAAAUAAGACUCUAAGGUCACUGCAUUGCUCCCCAAGUGCCCUUGAGACUGAAUCACCCUGGACUUCAUAUCAGAUUUCUCCCUGUUCUGGGGCCACCAAACAAUUCUGAUGGUGGUGGCUAUCCUUAUCAAAACAGUAAAUGUCAUUCCCCAACUGCUUAAACUAUGCUUUAUUUAUCAGUGAGGUGGUAGCCUACCUCAGGAUCACUUUUAUAGUAAUUUCCAUGGUCUUACUAUUUAAAGGAAUGUUUCCAGAAGUAUCUACAUCUGAAUUCACCUGUCUACUGCUAUUACCUAGCCAGGGAUAGUAAGAAAGACACUUUUGGUUGGAAUUUCUCUGGUGUCACAAAAUACAUAGGCAUUAUGACUUGUUCUGCCUACCUUGUAACUGCAAAAUUCACACAGUAUUUUUCCACACGGAAUACCCUCUUCUAUAAUGACUACUGCCACCCUCUUUAUUUCACUGCUAAGAUUGAUACCUCAAAGAGGUAUAAGCCACCCCCAAAAAGCUUAGAGGUGACAUUGAUCAAUGUGUCAAAGACUACUAUAGGCCCACUGUACCAAAUAAUAUGGCUAAGUCCUGACACCGGACAGGGGUGGUGGUGUGGGGGGUGUCUUUUAGGUGGGAGAGUUUAUGGUUCUCAGUCCUACAUAUCUGAGCCAAAUUAAAAUUUAAACACUUUCUUGGAUCCAUUCAAGUUUUCAAGAUCACAAACCCCAUUGUGUUCUUCCUAUAUUUAUCUGUUAAGACAUAGCUUUAAAACAUUUUUUUUUUCUUUUGAGUCAGAGUCUCACUCUGUCACCCAGGCUGGAGUGCAGUGGCA